RNAcentral lists this transfer RNA (70 nucleotides) under Varanus doreanus. RNAcentral's name for it is "tRNA-Ala". Lineage: Eukaryota; Metazoa; Chordata; Lepidosauria; Squamata; Varanidae. The record is from RNAcentral.
AAGGCUUUAGCUUAAUUAAAGUGUCUGGGUUGCAUUCAGGCGAUGUAAAUGAGAGUUUUACAGGUCUUGU